GCUUGCUUUCUUUUGCUGGCGACCGGCGCACGGGUGAGUAACACGUAUCCAACCUACCCUUUACUCGGGGAUAGCCUUUCGAAAGAAAGAUUAAUACCCGAUAGCAUAAUGAUUCCGCAUGGUUUCAUUAUUAAAGGAUACCGGUAAAGGAUGGGGAUGCGUUCCAUUAGGUUGUUGGUGGGGUAACGGCCCACCAAGCCUUCGAUGGAUAGGGGUUCUGAGAGGAAGGUCCCCCACAUUGGAACUGAGACACGGUCCAAACUCCUACGGGAGGCAGCAUG
This 281-nucleotide ribosomal RNA is filed under the name uncultured bacterium. RNAcentral's name for it is "partial 16S ribosomal RNA". It matches the Rfam family "Bacterial small subunit ribosomal RNA", at positions 73 to 353 of the family's 1533-position model. The record is from RNAcentral.